GACGAACGCUGGCGGCGUGCUUAACACAUGCAAGUCGAGCGGAAAGGCCCUUCGGGGUACUCGAGCGGCGAACGGGUGAGUAACACGUGAGUAACCUGCCCUUGGCUCUGGGAUAGCUCCGGGAAACCGGAAUUAAUACCGGAUAUGACCUCGGCCGACAUCGGCUGUGGUGGAAAGAUUUAUCGGCCAGGGAUGGGCUCGCGGCCUAUCAGCUAGUUGGUGGGGUAACGGCCUACCAAGGCGACGACGGGUAGCCGGCCUGAGAGGGCGACCGGCCACACUGGGACUGAGACACGGCCCAGACUCCUACGGGAGGCAGCAGUGGGGAAUAUUGGACAAUGGGCGCAAGCCUGAUCCAGCCAUGCCGCGUGAGUGAUGAA
Molecule: ribosomal RNA, 380 nt
Filed under: uncultured bacterium
Lineage: Bacteria
Description: bacterial SSU rRNA
Rfam family: Bacterial small subunit ribosomal RNA
Source: RNAcentral